Sceloporus undulatus (fence lizard) is the source of this 1578-nucleotide long non-coding RNA. RefSeq lists it as uncharacterized. The transcript has 3 exons. Lineage: Eukaryota; Metazoa; Chordata; Lepidosauria; Squamata; Phrynosomatidae. The record is from RefSeq and is a predicted model, not a curated record.
CCUCUUGAUCCAAUGUGGAAUACGUACGGAGUAAAACCCACAAAAAACUAUGGAUGCCGGCCAUGAAAGCCUUCGACUAUACUGAGAAUUGUUUCCUGCCAAUGCUACCUGCUUGGAGCACAUUUUCAAGAGAAGAAUCACACAACUGUGAUUUAUCAAUGUGCCCAUGUGCCUAGGCAUGCAUGGUCACUUCUACAGCUGCUGCAAAUCCAAACCAUCCCAUCUUUUCUUAAGGUUGCUCCUGACUUCAGCCGGACUUUUGCCCAAUCAAAAGACCCGACUUCAGCCUUUUUAAGAGUGAUUUGGUGUCCACCUGUGCUAUCAGCUUGGUGCUGAAAAUGCUUGCCUUUCCAUCCUGAACUAUUUUAGGCUCCGGCUGUGCUUUGCAGCCCAGCAGGCGGACAGCAUAAAGCAUCUCUCUUCCUAUACAGCAGGGGGAAGCAAGGAAAUGAGAGUCAUCUAGAAGAGAGGCAUCCAAUCCCUUAACAACCGCGAACAAUGGAGCAGCUUUCUCCAAGGGUGAAGGAAAGAGAAGCUUCUCGCUGCUAGAUAAUAACAAUCAGACAGAAAUGGAAUUGCCUGCCUAUUGAAGUCAAGUGGGCUUUUUCUUCUUUUCAGUGGAAUCUGGACACAUUGUAAUGUACUUUGCCUUCAAAAAUACUUCUGCAGCCUAUGUGACGUUGUUGGUUCAUGACAGGCUUCCUCUGCAGUACUUGCAUUCAGUGCUGGGCACCUUAUUUGGAGAAGGAGAUACACAAGCUGGAGCAGGUUCAGAGAUUGGCAACAAGUAUGAUAAGAGAUUUAAGGAAGGCUACGACUGUGAUUUAAAAUAAUGGCCAGAAUCCAAUGCUGGGAGACAUAUCUACAGCAUGAAUUUCUCCUAUUUAUGGGCAGUGAAACACAGUGGCAAGAAUGAAAAAUUUAAAGGAGCAAACUAUCAGCUGAAACUAGAUACAGCCUUAGGGCACUGGAGCGCCUUUGAUUCUCAGCAGCCCGAGGAUUUGUGGGACUCCGACUCUCAAGAUUUCCCCUUAUUGUGAAAUGCUUGGGAAGCAGUUUCCAUGACAUGUCACAGGCUCAUGGCAGUCAGAAGCAUUUUGCAAGGACGGUGUGUUGAAAGCCUCUUGGCCUGGAGGCAGGAGUAUUUCUGUUACCCGGGAAUGGAUUUAUCACCUUGUUCAACUGCCAGAAGGCUUAUUAUGUUGACUGCAGUGCGCAGGUUGGUGGAACAUGAACGUAAAACGUCAAAUACUUACAAAUGCAUAACCUGCAGUUACACAUUUAUAACUGAUGCAUAGUCACGAACCCUAUAUAUGCAAUAGUGUAGGGAACACACAGGGGUCGUAACGUCUCCCAGUCUUGAUCUCCCAGAAGUAUUGAUUUGUAGAGAAUAUAUUUUCUGUACAGAAAUACUUUGCAGUAGCAUUAUGACUGACUAGUCUUUCCAAUGGUUUUACCCUGGUUGACUGAGAAACAAAUAGCAAGCAAAUAUUCUUUCCACCCUUAGUUCAAAUACAUUAUACAGUCGCCCCUUUGAACUCGCGAGGGAUCUGUUCUGAGUUUGAAAACUCACGCAUA